UCCUACGGGAGGCAGCAGUGGGGGAUAUUGCACAAUGGGCGCAAGCCUGAUGCAGCAACGCCGCGUGAGGGACGAAGGCCUUCGGGUUGUAAACCUCUUUUAGCAGGGAAGAAGCGACUGGGUUUUCCUGGGAGUGACGGUACCUGCAGAAAAAGCACCGGCUAACUACGUGCCAGCAGCCGCGGUAAUACGUAGGGUGCAAGCGUUGUCCGGAAUUAUUGGGCGUAAAGAGCUCGUAGGCGGUUUGUCGCGUCUGCUGUGAAACCCCGAGGCUCAACCUCGGGCCUGCAGUGGGUACGGGCAGACUAGAGUGCGGUAGGGGAGAUUGGAAUUCCUGGUGUAGCGGUGGAAUGCGCAGAUAUCAGGAGGAACACCAAUGGCGAAGGCAGAUCUCUGGGCCGUAACUGACGCUGAGGAGCGAAAGCAUGGGGAGCGAACAGGAUUAGAUACCCUGGUAGUCCAUGCCGUAAACGUUGGGAACUAGAUGUGGGGACCAUUCCACGGUCUCCGUGUCGCAGCUAACGCAUUAAGUUCCCCGCCUGGGGAGUACGGCCGCAAGGCUAAAACUCAAAGGAAUUGACGGGGGCCCGCACAAGCGGCGGAGCAUGCGGAUUAAUUCGAUGCAACGCGAAGAACCUUACCAAGGCUUGACAUAUACCGGAAACGGCUGGAAACAGUCGCCCCGCAAGGUCGGUAUACAGGUGGUGCAUGGUUGUCGUCAGCUCGUGUCGUGAGAUGUUGGGUUAAGUCCCGCAACGAGCGCAACCCUCGUCCUAUGUUGCCAGCACGUAAUGGUGGGAACUCAUGGGAUACUGCCGGGGUCAACUCGGAGGAAGGUGGGGAUGACGUCAAAUCAUCAUGCCUCUUAUGUCUUGGGCUUCACGCAUGCUACAAUGGCCGGUACAAAGGGCUGCGAUACCGCAAGGUGGAGCGAAUCCCAAAAAGCCGGUCUCAGUUCGGAUUGAGGUCUGCAACUCGACCUCAUGAAGUCGGAGUCGCUAGUAAUCGCAGAUCAGCAACGCUGCGGUGAAUACGUUCCCGGGCCUUGUACACACCGCC
This 1059-nucleotide ribosomal RNA is filed under the name uncultured Cryobacterium sp. RNAcentral describes it as "bacterial SSU rRNA". It matches the Rfam family "Bacterial small subunit ribosomal RNA", at positions 337 to 1394 of the family's 1533-position model. The record is from RNAcentral. Lineage: Bacteria; Bacillati; Actinomycetota; Actinomycetes; Micrococcales; Microbacteriaceae.